Molecule: ribosomal RNA, 304 nt
Filed under: Humboldtiana sp. OM-2006
Lineage: Eukaryota; Metazoa; Mollusca; Gastropoda; Stylommatophora; Humboldtianidae
Description: partial 16S ribosomal RNA
Source: RNAcentral
ACUGUGCCGGCAGUACUUNNUCCACUAGAAGAUGCCUGACAUAUAAAGCACAAGACGUAAGGACCCUAGAAAUUUUAUAUAAAGUAUAUAUUUAUACUAUCAUUUUGUGGGGGCGACAGAAUAGCAAAUAACCUAUUUUAAGUUAUAUGAAGAUUUUUUAUAAAGACAGUAAAAAUUACUCUAGGGAUAACAGCAUAAUUAUUUAAUAGUUUGUGACCUCGAUGUUGGACUAAGGAAGGUUUUAUUCAGAAGAUUAAAUCGUAUGUUCUGUACAAACAAAUAAUCCUUACAUGAUCUGAGUUAG